AGAGUUUGAUCAUGGCUCAGGACGAACGCUGGCGGCGUGCUUAACACAUGCAAGUCGAACGGAAAGGUCUCUUCGGAGACACUCGAGUGGCGAACGGGUGAGUAACACGUGGGCAAUCUGCCCUGCACUUCGGGAUAAGCCUGGGAAACUGGGUCUAAUACCGGAUAGGACCUCAAGACGCAUGUCUUCUGGUGGAAAGCUUUUGCGGUGUGGGAUGGGCCCGCGGCCUAUCAGCUUGUUGGUGGGGUGAUGGCCUACCAAGGCGACGACGGGUAGCCGGCCUGAGAGGGUGUCCGGCCACACUGGGACUGAGAUACGGCCCAGACUCCUACGGGAGGCAGCAGUGGGGAAUAUUGCACAAUGGGCGCAAGCCUGAUGCAGCGACGCCGCGUGGGGGAUGACGGCCUUCGGGUUGUAAACCUCUUUCAGCAGGGACGAAGCGCAAGUGACGGUACCUGCAGAAGAAGCACCGGCCAACUACGUGCCAGCAGCCGUGGUAAUACGUAGGGUGCGAGCGUUGUCCGGAAUUACUGGGCGUAAAGAGCUCGUAGGUGGUUUGUCGCGUUGUUCGUGAAAUCUCACGGCUUAACUGUGAGCGUGCGGGCGAUACGGGCAGACUAGAGUACUGCAGGGGAGACUGGAAUUCCUGGUGUAGCGGUGGAAUGCGCAGAUAUCAGGAGGAACACCGGUGGCGAAGGCGGGUCUCUGGGCAGUAACUGACGCUGAGGAGCGAAAGCGUGGGGAGCGAACAGGAUUAGAUACCCCCGUAGUCC
This 773-nucleotide ribosomal RNA is filed under the name uncultured bacterium. Its description in RNAcentral is "bacterial SSU rRNA". It matches the Rfam family "Bacterial small subunit ribosomal RNA", at positions 8 to 796 of the family's 1533-position model. The record is from RNAcentral.